AGUGAACGCUGGCGGUAGGCCUAACACAUGCAAGUCGAACGGCAGCACAGUAAGAGCUUGCUCUUACGGGUGGCGAGUGGCGGACGGGUGAGGAAUACAUCGGAAUCUACUUUUUCGUGGGGGAUAACGUAGGGAAACUUACGCUAAUACCGCAUACGACCUACGGGUGAAAGCAGGGGAUCUUCGGACCUUGCGCGAUUGAAUGAGCCGAUGUCGGAUUAGCUAGUUGGCGGGGUAAAGGCCCACCAAGGCGACGAUCCGUAGCUGGUCUGAGAGGAUGAUCGGCCGCACUGGAACUGAGACACGGUCCAGACUCUUACGGGAGGCAGCAGUGGGGAAUAUUGGACAAAGGGCGCAAGCCUGAUCCAGCCAUACCGCGUGGGUGAAGAAGGCCUUCGGGUUGUAAAGCCCUUUUGUUGGGAAAGAAAAGCAGCAGGUUAAUACCCCGCUGUUCUGACGGUACCCAAAGAAUAAGCACCGGCUAACUUCGUG
RNAcentral lists this ribosomal RNA (492 nucleotides) under uncultured bacterium. Its description in RNAcentral is "partial 16S ribosomal RNA". It matches the Rfam family "Bacterial small subunit ribosomal RNA", at positions 29 to 507 of the family's 1533-position model. The record is from RNAcentral.